AAGAUAUUCAAUAAUAUAAGCUCUUUCUGUAACUUCUGAAUAUUAGGUUAGCCCGACUUUUUCAUUAGUACGGUAAUGUGCCUGAAAAGGAAUUGCAUUAGAUAUGUUAUAAAUGAUCAACAGAAGGGAAGUGCUUUUGUUAUUGUAACUGAUGAAAAAUAAAAAAGGAAUAAAAGAUAUCCUUUGUUUCUGCCUUCUGUAAGAACCAGUUCAACAGCAACAUUAAUGAAUUCCAUUGUAGUUUUCCUGGCAGGGCUGUAGUGUUUCCAAGAUGACAUGGAUUCAGGAAACACCUAUUGUAUUGAUGUAUUAUUUUGCGAUGAGCCUUUAUUUUGUGUAUGCUUUUGUUGCAGGUUUUUGCAGAAAAACCAGGGUACUUUCCUCUCAUAUGCUUAUGAUGGCCCCAAAG
RNAcentral lists this long non-coding RNA (409 nucleotides) under Nicotiana benthamiana. RNAcentral describes it as "long non-coding RNA (NBEN_LNC002280)". Lineage: Eukaryota; Viridiplantae; Streptophyta; Magnoliopsida; Solanales; Solanaceae. The record is from RNAcentral.